Molecule: long non-coding RNA, 928 nt
Filed under: Astyanax mexicanus (Mexican tetra)
Lineage: Eukaryota; Metazoa; Chordata; Actinopteri; Characiformes; Acestrorhamphidae
Description: lncRNA (ENSAMXG00005016905.1)
Source: RNAcentral
CUCAUUUUACUCAAACAUAAACCUAUAAAAAAUAAAAUCGGAAAGAAUUAUCAUUUUAAGGUGGUAUUAAUAUUUUUCUGCAGCUGUAUUCGAAUCAAUGACAGUUACGCUAAGCUAACAUUUGCGUCAGGCACGUAUCCGGGCACAUCUACCCGCUUCUGAAAGCCUCUGGGGUCCUGACAGAAGCAGCCUCGCUCCUCACGUUAGCACACUUCGCUAAGCAGCUAACGCUAAACCUACAGAACUACAGCAGCAUGUCUGGAAGAGAAGGACGAUAUGGCCUUCAAACAGAAGCAGAAGGAAGAGCAGAAAGCGAUGGAUGCGAUGAAGGCCAAAGCAGCAGGAAAAGGACCUUUAACUGGUGGUGGAAUCAAAAAGUCCGGGAAGAAGUGAGUUGGAGGAUUAUCUUCAGACCAGACCGUCGUUCUGUCCUCAUCUGGGUCCACAGACACACGUGUACAUGAGCUAGCAUUUUUAAUUCCUUUACCCUUCCUUUGUAAACUGAAAUAACCUGAAAUAAUAAAGUUUUUGUAGCUUAACUACUGUGUUUACAUUUUGUAGACAAAAUGUGCGAGAUGGUAAACCACAGUUCACCGCAGAUACAAACUACAGUACAGUAAAAAUACAUACAAUUACACUUAAAACUAAAAGAUAAAAACUGAAAGAUCACUUCGUCCACGCUAUUCCUGUCUUUACAAACUGGCUCUUUUUAUUUAUAUAUAUAUAUAUUUUUCACGUCGUCCCAGCACCACUCCCAGUGUUUCUUUUCCUCUUUAUUUUCCACGUUUUCCUGAGCCUGAAACAAAAAAGGGGGGUUAUUUUUCUUUAUUUUGUAGUUUAAGCGACUCUGAAGUGUAAAUUUGGAGUCGUGUGUUGUUGUUUGUAACAGAGAGGAUGUAUAAAAUAAAGAAUUACGCUGCUUACUUUG